AUUGAACGAGGGAGGAAGGAGGUACAAAGGCAAGUCGAACGGUAACAGGCCUUCGGGUGCUGACGAGUGGCGAACGGGUGAGUAAUGCAUCGGAACGUGCCCAGAGGUGGGGGAUAACGCAGCGAAAGCUGUGCUAAUACCGCAUGUGAUCUGAGGAUGAAAGCGGGGGACCAGGCAGCAAUGUUUGGCCUCGCGCCUUUGGAGCGGCCGAUGUCAGAUUAGGUAGUUGGUGGGGUAAAGGCCUACCAAGCCGACGAUCUGUAGCUGGUCUGAGAGGACGCACAGCCACACUGGGACUGAGACACGGCCCAGACUCCUACGGGAGGCAGCAGUGGGGAAUUUUGGACAAUGGGCGCAAGCCUGAUCCAGCAAUGCCGCGUGCGGGAAGAAGGCCUUCGGGUUGUAACCCUCUUUUGUACGGAACGAAAAGGCUCUGGCUAAUACCUGGGGCUGAUGACGGUACCGUAAGAAUAAGCACCGGCUACCUACGUC
RNAcentral lists this ribosomal RNA (492 nucleotides) under uncultured bacterium. RNAcentral describes it as "partial 16S ribosomal RNA". It matches the Rfam family "Bacterial small subunit ribosomal RNA", at positions 29 to 507 of the family's 1533-position model. The record is from RNAcentral.